ACAGUAAGCGGAAGUGACGAUCCUGGCGGGUAUCUGAUGGUUUUUAGUCGCUCUGAACCGCAAAUAACUCAUAAUUAUCGACUGUGAAAUGGGAAUGGUGUUUAGGAUCGACGAGUAACGGAUUAACACAAACAGGAUCUGGAGUUUACGGACUGUUCGGCUAACGAGUAUGUGGGAGCCAUCGCUGUUCUCCGUCACUCCAGCUGCCAGCUUGCUGUCCAGAUGUGUCUCAGUAGGAGCUGUGUCUCAGGAUGAAAUCGACGCUGCCUUCUCCAGCCCAAACCCUGUGUUCUCCACGCGCCUGCAGGAGACAGAAGAGAUGAUCAGGAACCAGAAACAGCUGGAUGAGUUGCAGCUGGAGUUGGAGCUGCUGAAGAUGGAAGAACGGAGCGCUGAUGUCUCUCAUGAUUUCCAUCUUGCUUGUCUGAUUCCAGAUCAGAAGAACAAGAGGCUGCAGCUGUUCGCUUGUCAUCUCCUUGAUCUGCUGAGGGAGCAAAGGACUCUGAGACAGAGACUGAUGCGACCGCUGGCUCGGACCAACCUGCCUGUCCCGGCCCACAUGCAGAGUUUUAUGGUGAGAUCCGUGGAGCUGAUGAUGGACUUCGUGGCGUGUCUGGAGGAGAAGCUGAGGUCAGCCCAGAUCCAGACCACCACCGCCGACAGCCUCACCCUGCUGGUAAGUUCCAGUUUGAGGUCACUGAGUAAAUCUUUCUAAUGCUGAUCCGAGUCCAGUACUGCCACCUGUAUAGGAAAGCUUGUGAUGCCUUUAAUCACUGCAGGAAACGUCACACUCCCUUAUGUUGACCUUAGCAGCAGACGUGGAGGCUGCGUUUAUGCAGAUUCUGCAGAAGAGGAAGAGUAGCAGCCAGCAGGAGGCGUCAGAGGCUCAUCAGCGCUCCCUUUACACAACUUGCUGUGAUGUCACCAAGUUGCACAAAUAUUAGAUUGCACUUUUUUAAGGAAUGUAAUAAAAUGUGUUGUUCAUGUGGA
RNA transcript from Nothobranchius furzeri (turquoise killifish), 990 nucleotides. It is a transcript of the gene named HAUS augmin like complex subunit 2, with no coding region annotated. The record is from RefSeq and is a predicted model, not a curated record. NCBI's taxonomy places the organism in Eukaryota, Metazoa, Chordata, Actinopteri, Cyprinodontiformes, Nothobranchiidae.